RNAcentral lists this ribosomal RNA (429 nucleotides) under Chloroflexota bacterium. RNAcentral's name for it is "Chloroflexi bacterium partial 16S ribosomal RNA". It matches the Rfam family "Bacterial small subunit ribosomal RNA", at positions 355 to 776 of the family's 1533-position model. The record is from RNAcentral. Lineage: Bacteria; Bacillati; Chloroflexota.
UGGGGAAUAUUGCACAAUGGGCGCAAGCCUGAUGCAGCCAUGCCGCGUGUGUGAAGAAGGCCUUCGGGUUGUAAAGCACUUUCAGCGGGGAGGAAGGCGAUAAGGUUAAUAACCUUGUCGAUUGACGUUACCCGCAGAAGAAGCACCGGCUAACUCCGUGCCAGCAGCCGCGGUAAUACGGAGGGUGCAAGCGUUAAUCGGAAUUACUGGGCGUAAAGCGCACGCAGGCGGUUUGUUAAGUCAGAUGUGAAAUCCCCGGGCUCAACCUGGGAAAUGCAUAUGAGAAUGGCAAGCUUGAGUCUCGUAGAGGGGGGUAGAAUUCCAGGUGUAGCAGUGAAAUGCGUAGGGAUCUGGAGGAAUAACGGUGGCGAAGGCGGCCCCCUGGACGAAGACUGACGCUCAGGUGCGAAAGCGUGGGGAGCAAACAGG